GAUGAACGCUGGCGGCGUGCCUAAUACAUGCAAGUCGAGCGAACAGACGAGGAGCUUGCUCCUCUGACGUUAGCGGCGGACGGGUGAGUCACACGUGGAUAACCUACCUAUAAGACUGGGAUAACUUCGGGAAACCGGAGCUAAUACCGGAUAAUAUAUUGAACCGCAUGGUUCAAUAGUGAAAGACGGUUUUGCUGUCACUAAUAGAUGGAUCCGCGCCGCAUUAGCUAGUUGGUAAGGUAACGGCUUACCAAGGCAACGAUGCGUAGCCGACCUGAGAGGGUGAUCGGCCACACUGGAACUGAGACACGGUCCAGACUCCUACGGGAGGCAGCAGUAGGGAAUCUUCCGCAAUGGGCGAAAGCUUGACGGAGCAACGCCGCGUGAGUGAUGAAGGUCUUCGGAUCGUAAAGCUCUGUUAUUAGGGAAGAACAAAUGUGUAAGUAACUAUGCACGUCUUGACGGUACCUAAUCAGAAAGCCACGGCUAACUACGUG
Molecule: ribosomal RNA, 497 nt
Filed under: uncultured bacterium
Lineage: Bacteria
Description: partial 16S ribosomal RNA
Rfam family: Bacterial small subunit ribosomal RNA
Source: RNAcentral